AUUGAACGCUGGCGGCAUGCCUUACACAUGCAAGUCGAACGGCAGCACGGGAGCAAUCCUGGUGGCGAGUGGCGAACGGGUGAGUAAAGUAUCGGAACGUGCCAGUCGUGGGGGAUAACGUAGCGAAAGUUACGCUAAUACCGCAUACGAUCCAUGGAUGAAAGCGGGGGAUCGCAAGACCUCGCGCGAUUGGAGCGGCCGAUAUCAGAUUAGGUAGUUGGUGGGGUAAAGGCUCACCAAGCCGACGAUCUGUAGCUGGUCUGAGAGGACGACCAGCCACACUGGGACUGAGACACGGCCCAGACUCCUACGGGAGGCAGCAUUGGGGAAUUUUGGACAAUGGGCGAAAGCCUGAUCCAGCCAUGCCGCGUGCAGGAUGAAGGCCUUCGGGUUGUAAACUGCUUUUGUACGGAACGAAAAGGUUUGGCCUAAUAAGCUGAGCUCAUGACGGUACCGUAAGAAUAGGCACCGGCUAACUACGUGCCAGCCGCCGCCGUAA
This 499-nucleotide ribosomal RNA is filed under the name uncultured bacterium. RNAcentral's name for it is "partial 16S ribosomal RNA". It matches the Rfam family "Bacterial small subunit ribosomal RNA", at positions 30 to 523 of the family's 1533-position model. The record is from RNAcentral.